CCAGGUGAGUCUGGGAUGGGGUUGUCUGCAUGUGGUAGUUUUUAGAAAGUAGAAUCGGUGAAGCUUACAUACUGGCUGUGAUGGACAUUGGAAAAAGCCUCUGAAUACUGGGAACAAGGCACCAGGAGGAGGAUGAGAUUUGUUUCAGGACUGGGUGGGGAACACAGCAGGGGAUGUCUCUGUGUAUAAGACAUGCAGAUCCAAAGCUUGGAUGGGAGAGAGAAAGAACACCAGAUCUGCAGGCCACAGGGAGUCUAGGAGGUGCUGUGUUACUAUCCCAAGCGGUGUCGAAUGGCUCUUGGAAGCUCGGAUUGGGCUGCAGGGCUGUUUGGACAGUCAAGCCUACAUGAAUUAUUAGAUCAGAGAUGAUAUAUACAUACUUCAUAACACAACCUCAUUGGAGUAUUUAUUUGCUGUGUCUCCUGAUUCAUCCCAAGUAAUGAUUGAGUAAAAUUCUGUUUUGACAUUUAGAGGUGAUCUGCUUACCUGCG
Molecule: long non-coding RNA, 491 nt
Organism: Dipodomys spectabilis (banner-tailed kangaroo rat)
Lineage: Eukaryota; Metazoa; Chordata; Mammalia; Rodentia; Heteromyidae
Exons: 3
Source: RefSeq, a predicted model, not a curated record